AACUGGUGAUGAUAAUCUUAAGGCUUGUUUCUCAGAAACAUUCGCAGUGGCCGACUAAGAGCUUUCGCCUUCGCCAGGCUUGAGAGCUUGUGCUGUCUUUCUCCUUCCUUCCUUGGAUGUCUGAAGUUUCAAUAUUAUACAUAAAUUAUUUCUUUAUUUAUUUAUGGAGAUUUAGUGUGGGUUUCUCAAUGAUGAUUUCAAUAGAUGACGAGUCUGAUGUAAUAUCCAUUCCAUUCAAUCAUGAAGACGAAUCGAGGCAUUUGUCUGAGAGCC
RNAcentral lists this long non-coding RNA (273 nucleotides) under Helianthus annuus (common sunflower). Its description in RNAcentral is "sRNA HanXRQr2_Chr15g0702211". The stretch from base 1 to 128 matches the Rfam family "Small nucleolar RNA SNORD14". The record is from RNAcentral. Lineage: Eukaryota; Viridiplantae; Streptophyta; Magnoliopsida; Asterales; Asteraceae.